RNAcentral lists this ribosomal RNA (253 nucleotides) under uncultured bacterium. RNAcentral's name for it is "partial 16S ribosomal RNA". It matches the Rfam family "Bacterial small subunit ribosomal RNA", at positions 524 to 776 of the family's 1533-position model. The record is from RNAcentral.
UACGUAGGGGGCUAGCGUUGUCCGGAUUUAUUGGGCGUAAAGAGCGUGUAGGCGGCCUUACAGGUCAGCUGUGAAAACUCGAGGCUCAACCUCGAGACGUCGGUUGAAACCGUAUGGCUAGAGUCCGGAAGAGGAGAGUGGAAUUCCCGGUGUAGCGGUGAAAUGCGCAGAUAUCGGGAAGAACACCCGUGGCGAAGGCGGCUCUCUGGGACGGUACUGACGCUGAGACGCGAAAGCGUGGGGAGCGAACAGG